This 1027-nucleotide small RNA is filed under the name uncultured fungus. RNAcentral describes it as "eukaryotic LSU rRNA". The stretch from base 595 to 1027 matches the Rfam family "Eukaryotic large subunit ribosomal RNA", at positions 1 to 429 of the family's 3401-position model. The record is from RNAcentral. Lineage: Eukaryota; Fungi.
UCCGUAGGUGAACCUGCGGAAGGAUCAUUAAUGAAACUUCAAAGUCGGCUUUUUGUCGUCUGUGCUGGUGGAGACACAUGUGCACGUCGACGGAGAGUCGCAAAAUCCACACACCUGUGCACCUAUGACUCUGAGUACCGCUUUGCAUGGCUCCUCAUUGGGCCUGGUACUCGAGUACUUUACACACUCUGAAUGUAACGGAAUGUCUAUUUGUACAAUGUACAACUAAAAACAACUUUCAACAACGGAUCUCUUGGCUCUCGCAUCGAUGAAGAACGCAGCGAAAUGCGAUAAGUAAUGUGAAUUGCAGAAUUCAGUGAAUCAUCGAAUCUUUGAACGCACCUUGCACCCUUUGGUAUUCCGAAGGGUACACCCGUUUGAGUGUCAUUGUAAUCUCACCUCUUCGACUUUUGUCGAUCAGUGUGGACUUGGAUGUUGCCGUGUAACGAACGGCUCGUCUGAAAUGCCUGAGUGUACCCUGCUUUGCGGCGUAUUCGGUGUGAUAAAUCUUCACCGGAGUCUGACUUUCGAGUCGCGCUUGUAUCGUAUGGCUCUGUGCUUCCAACCGUCUUAACAAGACAAUCUUUGACAAUUUGACCUCAAAUCGGGUGGGACUACCCGCUGAACUUAAGCAUAUCAAUAAGCGGAGGAAAAGAAACUAACAAGGAUUCCCCUAGUAACGGCGAGUGAAGAGGGAAAAGCUCAAAUUUUGAAUCUGGUGUCUUUGACUCCCGAGUUGUAAUCUAGAGAAGUGUUUUCCGCGUUGGACCGUGUACAAGUUCCCUGGAACGGGGCGUCAUAGAGGGUGAGAAUCCCGUAUAUGCCACGGACUACCAAUGCUCUGUGAUACACUCUCAACGAGUCGAGUUGUUUGGGAAUGCAGCUCAAACUGGGUGGUAAAUUCCAUCUAAAGCUAAAUAUUGGCGAGAGACCGAUAGCGAACAAGUACCGUGAGGGAAAGAUGAAAAGCACUUUGGAAAGAGAGUGAAACAGUACGUGAAAUUGUUGAAAGGGAAACGCUUGAAGU